RNAcentral lists this long non-coding RNA (1303 nucleotides) under Zea mays. RNAcentral describes it as "long non-coding RNA (ZMAY_LNC005483)". Lineage: Eukaryota; Viridiplantae; Streptophyta; Magnoliopsida; Poales; Poaceae. The record is from RNAcentral.
CAAGGUGAGGGAUAAACAAUGCUAGGGAAAACUAUUAGGUCCCAUCAAAUUAACCUGAACAUGUCACAGUGAUUAACAGCAAACAUUAUUGGGUAAAAAGGAGUGAUCAAGGGCACAACUUGCCUGGGACUCGAGAUUCUAGAUACCAGGAUGAUCUUCAGAUUCUCGGAACCUCACUGCUAUUUGUAGCAAUACAAACAAACAUGGUAUAGGCAAAAUUAACAUCACACCAAACAUAAGCACAAACUGCAUAAUAAUAUUCUACGCGAUGCUAUGAGAUCGUGGGCUCGAGAACCACUAAAUUCGGAGUUACGGUUAAGAAGAUAUGAUUUUCUAAAGUUGUAGAAGAUUAAACAAUAAAACUGUGUUUAUGUUGAUUAAAUAAAUCAGAUGAGAAAAAAAUACUUCAACUUAUACAUUUAAUACAUCUUCUCAUCUAAGUUAUAUCUUAACUAUGAGUUGGUUUAUAAUUAUUACUUUAGAGAGCUUAAUUGGCUAAACAUAGGCUAAGAGUUAUCUAAUUAUAAAAGUCUGCGACAUAGUACAACUAAUAUUAUUACUGUAUGUACAACAUUAUUAUGAGACCAACACAAUUUGAAUGGGUGUGAUUGGAGUUAAAAUGAGCAAGUUAUGGAGUUUACAAGUUUCAAGAUAUUUUAUUAUUGAUUUUAUACCCUGAAAUCAGUACCAAGGGUGUUUUUGCAACUUCCAGGGCUCCUACGUAAAACGUUUUACACUGCACGCGACCCCAGGUUAUUUUUGUACAAGAUCAGGGUCAUUUUAACAAAACCGCACGACCGAUCUCGCAAGAUUCAACCAGGGUCAUCCAUUUAAGGAUCUUGGGCCCAGAUUAGAUCAAGCCCCCAUCGAACCGGUAUGCAACAUGGACCGUCGGAUCACGAUCCCCCGGUCCAGAACCAACAUGCCCCAGAUCCAUUCUGAUCCAUCCGAUCGACACUCGGCCGCCUAGAUCCAAACACCUAAAAGGGUAUUUCUCGUCCUAAUCUCCACCGUACGAUUCCGAAUUGGCGAUCUGGAUUUGAUCAUGCGAAAGGAUACGCUUCAUCAAAUCGCAUUCGUUCACACAAGAUCGGAUGGCCUUGGGUUCCCCUCCCACUUCACCGGCCACGCGCGACGACACCCGAGCAUAGCCGGCGACGCCAUGUUCAGAAAUGAUGAACUCUCUGCUCCCCUGCUCAAACCCCGAUAUGGACCGUGCUACGCACUGCGGAGAAGAUGGCGAAGCUGAAGGAAGGGCUCUCACCGAGAUACGCGCAGGAGGAACCAUAGCCCACAGUGAUGA